This 254-nucleotide ribosomal RNA is filed under the name uncultured bacterium. RNAcentral's name for it is "partial 16S ribosomal RNA". It matches the Rfam family "Bacterial small subunit ribosomal RNA", at positions 524 to 776 of the family's 1533-position model. The record is from RNAcentral.
UACGUAGGGGUCUAGCGUUGUCCGGAAUCAUUGGGCGUAAAGAGCUCGUAGGCGGUUCGGCAAGUCGGAUGUGAAAUCUCCACGCUCAACGUGGAGGGGCCAUUCGAAACUGCCGUGACUCGAGUCCGGUAGGGGAGUGCGGAAUUCCCGGUGUAGCGGUGAAAUGCGCAGAUAUCGGGAGGAACACCGGUGGCGAAGGCGGCUUCCUGGACCGACACUGACGCUGAGGCGCGAAAGCCAGGGGAGCAAACGGG